This 347-nucleotide ribosomal RNA is filed under the name uncultured Anoxybacillus sp. RNAcentral describes it as "bacterial SSU rRNA". It matches the Rfam family "Bacterial small subunit ribosomal RNA", at positions 1034 to 1382 of the family's 1533-position model. The record is from RNAcentral. Lineage: Bacteria; Bacillati; Bacillota; Bacilli; Caryophanales; Anoxybacillaceae.
ACAGGUGGUGCAUGGUUGUCGGUCAGCUCGUGUCGUGAGAUGUGGGUUAAGUCCCGCAACGAGCGCAACCCUCGACCUUAGUUGCCAGCAUUCAGUUGGGCACUCUAAGGUGACUGCCGGCUAAAAGUCGGAGGAAGGUGGGGAUGACGUCAAAUCAUCAUGCCCCUUAUGACCUGGGCUACACACGUGCUACAAUGGGCGGUACAAAGGGUCGCGAACCCGCGAGGGGGAGCCAAUCCCAAAAAGCCGCUCUCAGUUCGGAUUGCAGGCUGCAACUCGCCUGCAUGAAGCCGGAAUCGCUAGUAAUCGCGGAUCAGCAUGCCGCGGUGAAUACGUUCCCGGGCCUU